CCUUAACUAAUUAAAUGUGGUUUUCAAGUGAACAUAAAAUAGCAUGUGCUGGCCAUCAGGGAAUGAGAAGUAUCAUCACCUGCAUUCUGCAGUGGAGUGGUACCCGAGGCACUUCUGGGUGUCAGCAGCAACUCACCUGAUGUACUCAACGCUAGUUUGAAACAAUACUUGAAGACUUCACAAGCGUCUUAAACUUUAAAGGCACAAAGGGUGAUUGAGGUUAGAUUACAGCCCAAUUGUGAACCACAGCUAGUAUACAGCUCAUCUAGUCAUAGGUUGUAUGAAGAGUUCAUCUUUUCAGUGUUGCUGCCUUUUGUCUGCUUAAUCUUUCUGCGUUUGUUUCUCCCUUUAAUUUAUUUUUCACUUGUGCUACCUGUCUUGAGAUUGAGUCACAGUCAUCAUCUAUUUGGACUCCCACCUGCAAAUUUCCUUGUUCUCAGUACAUUUUCUGACACACAAUUGAUUCAGUUUUCCAGAAAGCUCUCUUGCUUGGGAGAGUGGUGCUUUGCUCUCUAUUACUAUUAUGCCAUCCACCAAAUCGUCACUCAGCUUUUCCAUGACCAGUCAUCAGCACAGUCUCCUUCCCUCCCUCACAGCUUGCUACCAGCUCUUCACUCAAUGCCCUUCCUUCUGCUGUCAAUUUUAAACUCUGGAGCUUUAUCCCUUGCCUCUCCUUGGGACAUCUGCCUUCACAUCCCCAAAAGCUUCCUGCAUUGCUGUUGCUGCUUCAUGCAACCACACUCCUGUUCCACUUCUGGUGUACAAGGGGGGGUGUCUCUAAACACAUAUUCAUCACCAUGCUUGAGGAGGACAGUUCUGAAAGGUGCUUCUUGCCUCCAGCCAAGCCCCUCAGUUUGCUCCGAUGUCUGCCUCUGUGCCACAGGAACCUGGAGGAGUUGACAAUGAAUGCAAAAAUGUUUUCUGAGCCUUGCGGUUUUUUUGACUGGUUGUUAGCUAUCAAAACACUUUUAAAGUCAGUGUUAGGUGCCUCUUAUACUCAGUUCUCUAGUUCUUUGUAGUCAGCCAUUGUGUUGUGUACAGCUGAGGCACAAC
Molecule: long non-coding RNA, 1053 nt
Filed under: Athene cunicularia (burrowing owl)
Lineage: Eukaryota; Metazoa; Chordata; Aves; Strigiformes; Strigidae
Description: lncRNA (ENSACUG00000012368.1)
Source: RNAcentral